AGUGAACGCUGGCGGCGUGCUUAACACAUGCAAGUCGAACGAGAACGGAAUAUAGCUUGCUAUAUUUGUCAGCUAAGUGGCGCACGGGUGAGUAAUGUAUAGAUAACCUGCCCUUAAGAAAGGAAUAACAGUUGGAAACGACUGCUAAUGCCCUAUAUGCCUUUAAUACAUAAGUAUGCAAGGGAAACGCUUUAGUUCUUAAGGAUGGGUCUGUAUGGUAUCAGCUUUUUGGUGAGGUAAUGGCUCACUAAGGCUAUGACGCCUAACUGGUUUGAGAGGAUGAUAAGUCACACUGGAACUGAGACACGGUCCAGACUCCUACGGGAGGCAGCAGUGUGGAAUAUUGCACAAUGGGCGAAAGUCUGAUGCAGCAACGCCGCGUGGAGGAUGACACAUUUCGGUGCGUAAACUCCUUUUAUAUAGGAAGAUAAUGACGGUACUAUAUGAAUAAGCACCGGCUAACUCCGUGCCAGCAGCCGCCGCUG
Molecule: ribosomal RNA, 485 nt
Filed under: uncultured bacterium
Lineage: Bacteria
Description: partial 16S ribosomal RNA
Rfam family: Bacterial small subunit ribosomal RNA
Source: RNAcentral